Pyrus x bretschneideri (Chinese white pear) is the source of this 3851-nucleotide RNA transcript. RefSeq lists it as uncharacterized. The record is from RefSeq and is a predicted model, not a curated record. NCBI's taxonomy places the organism in Eukaryota, Viridiplantae, Streptophyta, Magnoliopsida, Rosales, Rosaceae. The transcript has 2 exons.
UUUCAACUCUAACUCGAACAAACCUACUCCUAUUGGGAUUCUGAAUUUUCCUUCUUUUCAAGGCUUUAUUCUUAGCUGGUCGGGAAUCCUGGUCGCACCAGGACUUCCUCGACCUUUUCUGUUUAUCCGGACUACUUUAGAUAGGAUUUGGCCGACCCUGCCAACUGGCCCGGGAUUUAUUAUUCGACCCAUAGUAUUUGUCAUCACCUUGGGCGGAGCACAUCCUUCUGAGGUCGCCGACUGUUAACUUUUGGUCGGGCCUCGGCCUUGAAGAAGCGGAAACGCCUAUUGCUUUUUGGACUUUGCUUCCUUAAUGACCAUUACUCCUGCACAUUUAUGAGACAUGAUUGCACUCUCCUCGUUGCCCCCAACGUACAGCCACGUGUCGAUUCUCCGCCGCUCUUAAAAGCUUUCAAUCAUGGCCCUCGAGAUCGUGCACUUACUGAAGCGUCUUAUCCUAAUUAAUGCAUUAAAACUGUCACCGCACGCAAUCGUGCGUCCUGGAUUUUCGACCCCUCGAUCCUAUCUUCGCAGGUUCCCAAAAUAUCCGAAAUGAUUGGAACCUUUCCCGGUUAAAUUUCCCCCUAAUUUGAACCAGUGUUUUUCGAAUUCCAAACGUUUGAUCUUCAUUCUGAAAAGCCUAUAAAUACCCACACUUCUGUCAUUCGCAUCUCACGCGUUCAGAAAUUCUAAAAUCUCAAUUUUAUCAUUCCUGUUCGUUCAGACAAAGCCUUCCAAUUCUUUUUCCUGCAACCUCUUUUUUUAACUCCAAAUCCCUUCUUUCAUCAAUGGCCUCCUUUAUCUCAAAGCUUUCUGACGAGUGCAGCAAAUGUAAGGAUUUCAUUGAUCGGAGCGCCGUCAAGACGCUGCGAUUUGAAAAUGACAUGGCCACUACCCACCAGAUUUUGGGUCCCCUUUUCAGAGACGCAGUGCCGUCGUCUAUCUCUACUCUUCUCAAGGAGCAGUGUUUAAUACCCCUGCUGCAGGGGUUCGACUGGUCGAAGUGGACUCUGGCGCGGCCUCAAGGAGCUUGGCCCUCGACCACCACGGCCUGGGCCGCCUGGGUUGACCGAAUGAGCACAUUCUUUGGCAAGGAAUGGAAGGCUCUUGGUAUCUACGAUGCCAUUAUUCUGUCGACCAUGGAGAUUGCCAUGGAUAAGGAGCUGCUCAUGGCGGCCCUGAGUUUAUGGUGUUCGGCCACCAACACCAUGAUCCUGCCUUUCGGCCCCACAGUCCUCGACAUUUCGGCCAUCCUUGGGACUUCUCCAACCGGCCUUCCCAUUGAUGCCGCCCUUUUCGGAUACCCAUCUCCUCUCGACCUAAAGGCAUUAUUUGACGAAAGGGCCAUCGAGACGCUAAGCCGUGGUGAUCGGGAGCCCUCAAGGGAAGAAGUUCAGAAGCUCCUUGGGACUUCUCUUCGCCGGCCGAGGCGAGAAAGGCCUUAGGAAGGGAGAACACGAGGUCUUCCUCUUCUACUGGUACAACAAAUUCAUCUGUUGUACCAGGUCAAACAAAUGCCUGGUCGAGAACAUGCCGGUGGCCCAGGCACUGGCUAGUGGUCGCUCCUUGGCGUUCAGCCCUGCUAUACUCGCUAACCUCUACCGUUGCUUGGCCGAGGCGACUAUUAGCAAGAUUGACCCGCACCAGAAUAGACCCCUCUGGGUGUUCCAACUCUGGUUGCAGGUUUACUUUUCCACCAUUCAAUCGGAGGUUCCUGCCUUUCAACGAUCGGCCGCCCUUGGCUUUCAACUGGCCUCUCGACCGGCACCACCUCACCGAGCCGACGAGGUCUUUAAACACUUCCUCGGCCUCGACGUCCUUUCGGAUGACAAGUUCGUGGUAUGCCGGCGCCAGGAGUACCCUGCCUCGAUCAGGCUUCCUACGCCCGCGUGGGCCGAGUCCGAGGAUGCGGACAUCCGUCAAUGCUGGGGGUCUUUCGUUUUGGCUCGCGAUCUUCCUCUUGGUUGCGACGCCUGCCGAGCCAGCUGGGAGGUCUAUCACCCCCAUUUUGUCGCCCAGCAGCUCGGCUACCUUCAAGGCUGCCCCGUCCCCCUGCUUGCCUUUCGGUCUCUCCUGAGUCGAGGGCGUCUUUCCGGUUCCUCUGAAAGGGAAUGCAAGACGUCGGAGCAGGAGUUUCAGGAGAAGUGCAAGAAAUUCCGGCUCCGGCCGACGGUUCCUGAAUCUUUGGGAACCGACACCUUCGGGGACUGGUGGGAGGAGUACACCAGUGACUUCUUCGGCGUCCGGGCCGAAGACAUGGUGAACAAAAUCUUCGGCGACCGUCCCAGACCAGCGCCCUAGGCCCAACCUAAGGAGUCGGCCCAAGGUAUAGUUUUUCCGCUUUUUUUUUUUUUUUUUUUUUUUAAUAUCACUUGUCCUUGUUAUUAAUUACUUUGCUAUUUCAGGGGGUCGCAUGUCGAGGAAGGUUGAAGUGGUCGCCGCAGUGGCGAGGGCGAAGAAGUUGGUCUCCAUGAAGAGGACCAUCGCCACCGAGCGGACAGCCCCCGCCAAACGCCCUUAUCGAAAGGCCGAGCCGGAGGAUGAUGCUCCUCGCCUUUCUAAACGCGUCAAGAAAUUGGCGAAGAAGGGCGACCGGGAGAUUCAUGUCGUCCCAAGUGACACUACAGGGACGCCUGCUCCUGCCGGCUCUCCUUCUGUACCGGCUGCCCCGGCUUCUCCAAACCCGAUUCCUCCAGCCGUCUCCCUUCCUGAGACCACGUCCGAUCCAAUCAUCGCAUCAGCUCCAGCUUCGAAGCCGGUCGUGGCGCCUGCCGUGGGGAAGUCAGCUGCACCUGUCGAGGCACCCUCUACUCCAACGGUCAUUCUGCAAGAGGUAUAAUUCUACUUCCACUCUUGUUUCUUUAGGUUUCUAGUCGUAACGCAAAAUGUUUUUCUUUUUGUUCAGGAUGUCGAGAGCGAGAGCGACGAAGUCCCGCUGGAACGCCGUCGUCGACCAGUCAACUCUCCUCUCGUCCAUCCUCUUCCGGUCGUCGAGGCGACCGCUCGACCGUGUCCUUCUGCGGCGGAUCGCGGCAAGAGACCUAUGGCCGAUCCUGAGGCCACGGUCGAAACGCCGAUCCACCCGCAGGAUGAAGACCUUCCCAUUCCUCCACAGGAAGUCUCCUCGGCCUUUCCAUCGUGGGAAGUGGAGCUCGACGCUCUUCUUCAGAGCACGACCGGUGAGGCCGGCUCCUCUGCUGCUCUUGCCGAACCAGCGGGAGCCAUGCCCGAGGCCGAAGCCUUCGUGAAGUUGCACGAAGUCCUGUCUCUCACUGCCUCCCAAGCUCUCCGAUCCAAGGGUCUUGACUCCGUUAGGGAGUGUCUUAAUGACCUUGCCAGCGGCGGUUACCUAAGCACGGAGAAUAUCUCCUUCCUCACCGACCUCUUGGAGCGGACUCGGCAACACUUCCACAUCUUCGAGCGAGCCCUACAAGCCGUGGAUGACCUGAAGGCUGCCAAGGUCGCGCAAGAGGCCGGCCGAGCUAAGAUGGAGGCAAUCAAAGCCAGGAAAGCGAAGCUGACCGAGUUUGAUCGCCAGAUCUUUGACCUCCAGCGUCAAAUUUUUGACCUUCAACGGCAAAGGUCUACUGCUGCUUCCGAGCUUGAGAAAGACUUCGAGGCCAACAGGGCUCGGCUGACGGCCUUCACGGCCGGCGCACGGCAUAUCCAGCAGCUUCAGUGCAAUAAAAAGACGAGGCAGGCUGAGAUAAUUUUGGGCGAAGCGAAGUGGUUGGAGCUAAAAGCUGCCCUUGAGACUUUCCUCCCCUCGACCCCCUAGGAAUUUAUCAUUGUAUUUGUUCUCUUAUUAUCAAUACAAUGGUUCUUUUGCUAUCAAUAAAAUGGUCUUUUGC